GCCCUGUUAGCUUCGGUCGGGUUAGCGGUGGACCAGAGUUAUUUUUUGACGUCAACAACGCUGCUUUUAAAGUAUAAUUCCUUCGUGAACAGGUCUUUCUACAAACAUGUCUGGAGUCCAGCAGCUGACGUACAUAUUGAAACUACAGCACACACCUGCUGAUGAAGGAAUGAUCACAGACCAGGAAGAAGAAAUGUGUCAUUUAAAAGAAGAGAACAAAAGAGACAUGCAGCCGUUGUUGGUGAUUAAAGAAGAAACUCUC
This is a long non-coding RNA of Thalassophryne amazonica, 262 nucleotides long. RefSeq lists it as uncharacterized. Lineage: Eukaryota; Metazoa; Chordata; Actinopteri; Batrachoidiformes; Batrachoididae. The transcript is spliced from 3 exons. The record is from RefSeq and is a predicted model, not a curated record.